UUUAAGGGUCGUUCGCUCGAUUUAGCUUACAAGGGCAUUUUGGUCACUUUUAACCCUUCUAUUACGACGAAGGACUUUUAAAGCCAUAUUUGACCAACAUCCCACUUUUAAAACUAUGAUCUUGUCAUUAGGUUUCAAAAUACCAUAACCACCAUUUAAAUAAUUCGGUUUACUUAUUUAAAGUAACCGAAUGUCUAUUUAACUUCAUUUAACUCUCAAUAAACCUCUAGUUCCACUUGAGUAGUUAACUUAUUAUACAUACCUGACUCGGAUCAAUAUAUUGACCCGUUUCGAUACCUUGCCUUAGUAGC
Molecule: long non-coding RNA, 311 nt
Filed under: Helianthus annuus (common sunflower)
Lineage: Eukaryota; Viridiplantae; Streptophyta; Magnoliopsida; Asterales; Asteraceae
Description: sRNA HanXRQr2_Chr05g0211961
Source: RNAcentral